GGAACGGGCCCCUUUCUAGACGACUCAGAAUUAGUUUAGGGAAUAGCAGCUCCAAAGCGGGUUGGUAAAUUCCAUCUAAGGCUAAAUACUGGCGAGAGACCGAUAGCGAACAAGUACUGUGAAGGAAAGAUGAAAGCACUUUGAAAAGAGAGUGAAACAGCAAGUGAAAUUGUUGAAAGGGAAGGGUAUUGCGCCCGACAUGGGGAUUGCGCACCGCUGCCUCUCGUGGGCGGCGCUCUGGGCUUUCCCUGGGCCAGCAUCGGUUCUUGCUGCAGGAAAAGGGGUUCUGGAACGUGGCUCUUCGGAGUGUUAAACCCAGGGCCAGAUGCUGCGUGCGGGGACCGAGUACUGCGGCCGUGUAAGUCACGGAUGCUGGCAAAACGGCGCAACACCGCCCGUCUUGAAAACCGGACG
Molecule: ribosomal RNA, 414 nt
Filed under: Pichia kudriavzevii
Lineage: Eukaryota; Fungi; Ascomycota; Pichiomycetes; Pichiales; Pichiaceae
Description: eukaryotic LSU rRNA
Rfam family: Eukaryotic large subunit ribosomal RNA
Source: RNAcentral